CUGCCAUUGCAGCUCCCGGCCCCGGGCGCGGGCGCUUGCUUCCCAGUUGGAUGACUCGGCCCGGGCGAGACAGUGCCCAGAGGGCCUUGGCCCAGUGAAACAAUGCCCUCAAUGCCCUACGCACACCUCCUGCGAGGCUCCAGGCCGCUAGCCAGAGUGGCGCCCCCUACCCCGACGCACACGUGGACCAAAAAGGCGUUCAACACUGAGAAUCAGUGGUUGACUUCUGUUGGCCCUAGGAACCUUGCUCCAGCAUCAUGACCUUGAGAAAAUCUUCCUGGGAUCUCUACAUUCAGAUGCCUCGACCAGAGCAGUCGUCGCCCUGGACCAUGUACCAUCUAAUGAUCUGCCUCUAUCCAUGCGAGUUCCUCAACCCAGCCAUAUAUUUAGUUAAAUGACCUUUCAUGAGCUGUCUUGCGUAUAGAAGACUCUCUGCCAUGCUGGAGAAAUAGAAAUAAAAAGCAGGGUCUAUCUUUACAGAUCUUUGCAUCCCCAGCCUCAAGCAGCAUGCAUGGUACCCAGUAAACCCUCAGUAGACUGUGAGAAGUGAACGGAUGCACAUGCAAGAGACGCCUCCCAACGGCUGACCCACUGCAUUUAGAGAUCCCUGUGCCGUCAGUUAUGAAUUCAUAUUUUAAAGAAUCUGGGGAAGAUGCCCAGUCCGAAGGUCUUCAACAAUUGCACUUGAGCUCUUUGAAAUGUCUCUUUAGGGUGGAUUCCUGGGCCUGUGACCUGUCCAGUCUUAUAAGAUCCUGCCCUUAGAAAGGUCCCAGGCUUGGUUUAAUUAUCUUUUGUCACCCUUUUGAAAUUCUUAACAGCUUUUGAAUAAAGGCUGCACAUUUGCC
Molecule: long non-coding RNA, 845 nt
Organism: Lagenorhynchus albirostris (white-beaked dolphin)
Lineage: Eukaryota; Metazoa; Chordata; Mammalia; Artiodactyla; Delphinidae
Exons: 4
Source: RefSeq, a predicted model, not a curated record